CUUUUUGCCUUCAGUCUGUGGUCCAGCUCACCCCUAAACCAUCUCGAUUGGGUUCAGGUCCGGUGACUGUGGAGGCCAGGUCAUCUGGCGCAGCACCCCAUCACUCUCCUUCUUGGUCAAAUAGCCCUUGAUGCCUUCAGUGUGACUCGACAAUUUUCAUAGUCAUGAAAAUAAAGAAAACUCUUUGAAUGAGAAGGUGUGUCCAAACUUUUGGCCUGUACUGUAUCUCAUCAGACUCGGACAACAAUAGUUGAUGCUUCCUGCAGGUGUAACAGGUUCAAAAAGAGAUUGCUCCUUUCUAUCAUUGACAUAUGUCUCUUUGUUGGAGAUUUUGUAACACAGCCUUAUAAAAGAUGUGGGCCAAUGUUUGAAUGACAAACUUUACACAUUUUCAGUGUUUGCUAUGAACAAAGUAAACCCAAGCCAAUGCUAGCUUGACAUGAAUGCCUCUUACUUUCACCCUACAUUGUGAGUGGUUCCAGGUCCUUGACAGUCAAUCACAUACCCUUUUGUAGUGAUUUAACAAUUAUCCUUUCGGUUUAGGUGAUGCUGCCAUCGGUGAUGGUGUAAGUCGGUACUUCAUCAGCUUUGCUAUGCAGACCUUGCAGUCUGGAUUCCACAUCAAUUUUGGAAAUGCUGAUGUGACUAGGCUGUAAGAGGGACAGAAGGAUCACCUCAUCCCAUGUGCCUCCCAGCCACUCAUUGAUUCUGACCUUUUUCUGAUGGCAGGUAGAAUGUUGGGAUAUUCAUUUAUACAUGGUGGCCUGGGAUUGCCAGGGAUCAGUCCUGCUGUAGUCCAUGUGCUCUUAGGGGGCCAGUUGGAGACAGCGACAUUGGUAUUGGAGGAUUGCCCUGAUAUCGAUCAAAGGAACAUAAUCCAGUUGCUGGAUGGCAACAGGGAGCUUUCUGAGGACCAGAAAGCGGCUGUCAAUAGCCUAGUUGACAUGUGGGAAUUGACACGACUGACUAAUCUGAACAGACAAUAUUUUCAUCAGAGGCUGUUGCAGCAUGCGUGGUUAUGAAUCAAACAGAUAAGAAGGGGCUUAA
Carassius carassius (crucian carp) is the source of this 1047-nucleotide long non-coding RNA. RefSeq lists it as uncharacterized. Lineage: Eukaryota; Metazoa; Chordata; Actinopteri; Cypriniformes; Cyprinidae. The record is from RefSeq and is a predicted model, not a curated record. The transcript has 4 exons.